RNAcentral lists this unclassified non-coding RNA (413 nucleotides) under plant metagenome. RNAcentral describes it as "partial contains internal transcribed spacer 1 and 5.8S ribosomal RNA". The record is from RNAcentral.
UUUUCGUAGGUGAACCUGCGUAAGGAUCAUUAACGAGCAAGCCAAUUUUUGGCAAGCUGUUUAAGCAAUGUUCAAGUCCCUGAGACCAAUUGCUGGCUCAAGGCGGCUUUAUUUGAAGCGACAACGGUUGCGACUGACUUGUCGACUGCAGAGAGUUGAAUUGGAGCAGUUGCGCUGUUAGUGUUCCAGUGUUCAAGGCUGGGUGCCUAAUUCUGGCUUUUUCGCUAGAGCUGUAUCCUCUGGAGAUGCAGUGGGCUGUAAAGUUGGCGUUCACUGGCGUUGACGCCCAGCCAGAGCUCAGACGGACUUGUUAAUUUUAACUUUACUUUGAAAGUAUUGAAAUGCUAAGAUGAAGAAUACUGAGAGAAUCACUCUGAGCGGUGGAUCACUCGGCUCGCGAAUCGAUGAAGAAC